Molecule: microRNA, 20 nt
Filed under: Nematostella vectensis (starlet sea anemone)
Lineage: Eukaryota; Metazoa; Cnidaria; Anthozoa; Actiniaria; Edwardsiidae
Description: nve-miR-9431
Source: miRBase by way of RNAcentral
UAAGCUGUGGUUUAAAGCAC